GAUGAACGCUGGCGGCGUGCCUAAUACAUGCAAGUCGAGCGAACAGACGAGGAGCUUGCUCCUUCGACGUUAGCGGCGGACGGGUGAGUAACACGUAGGUAACCUACCUAUAAGACUGGGAUAACUUCGGGAAACCGGAGCUAAUACCGGAUAAUAUUUCGAACCGCAUGGUUCGAUAGUGAAAGAUGGCUUGCUAUCACUUAUAGAUGGACCUGCGCCGUAUUAGCUAGUUGGUAAGGUAACGGCUUACCAAGGCAACGAUACGUAGCCGACCUGAGAGGGUGAUCGGCCACACUGGAACUGAGACACGGUCCAGACUCCUACGGGAGGCAGCAGUAGGGAAUCUUCCGCAAUGGGCGAAAGCCUGACGGAGCAACGCCGCGUGAGUGAUGAAGGUCUUCGGAUCGUAAAACUCUGUUAUUAGGGAAGAACAAACGUGUAAGUAACUGUGCACGUCUUGACGGUACCUAAUCAGAAAGCCACGGCUAACUACGUG
This 496-nucleotide ribosomal RNA is filed under the name uncultured bacterium. RNAcentral's name for it is "partial 16S ribosomal RNA". It matches the Rfam family "Bacterial small subunit ribosomal RNA", at positions 28 to 507 of the family's 1533-position model. The record is from RNAcentral.